CUAACGCUCCUCUCACCCUACCUCACCUGGACUAUUGCCUACAGAAGGCGCAACCUUGCAACCCUAAACUAGUGUUGCUCUCGCCCUUCACAUCGGCGGCAAAUUCCCCCAUGGGUCUUGUACGCCCGCAUCUCCCCACCCACAAACAGAAGCGGGCCUGCCGCUAGCUGUGCUCGGGGUCACUCCCUCAGUCUGAAACCUGGGCCGCCGAGGACAGGCUGUCCGCUCCCGCCCCGCCAGAGCUUGGGCGGUGAAAAUGGCUCGACCAUGCGGUCUGCCAAGGCCGGGCGGCCUGGCGCCAUGGGUGCUGCAUAUUGC
RNAcentral lists this non-coding RNA (318 nucleotides) under Scenedesmus quadricauda. The record is from RNAcentral. Lineage: Eukaryota; Viridiplantae; Chlorophyta; Chlorophyceae; Sphaeropleales; Scenedesmaceae.